UGUUAAAUAGCCGCGGUAUCUUGACCGUGCAAAGGUAGCAUAAUCAUUAGUUUUUUAAUUGGAAACUGGUAUGAAUGGUUGGACAAAGAAAAAUCUGUCUCUUUUAUUAAAAUUGAAUUUAACUUUUAAGUGAAAAGGCUUAAAUUUUCUAGAGGGACGAUAAGACCCUAUAAAGCUUUAUAAAUUUGAUAAUUUCUGUAGAUUUAAUAGAUAAAUAUAAUUUUGAAAAAUUUAUUUUGUUGGGGCGACAAAGGUAUAAUUAAAAUAACUGCCAAUAUUCUUUACAAUAAUUUUUGAUUUUGAGUAGUAAAUGAUCCCUUCUAAGGAUUAAGAGAUCAAGUUACUUUAGGGAUAACAGCGUAAUCUUUUUAGAGAGUACUUAUCAAAAAAAAGGUUUGCGACCUCGAUGUUGAAUUAAAAUGUCUUUAUGGUGCAGCAGCUAUAUAAGAAGGUCUGUUCGACCUUUAAUUUUUUACGUGAUCUGAGUUCA
Molecule: ribosomal RNA, 490 nt
Filed under: Lupocyclus strigosus
Lineage: Eukaryota; Metazoa; Arthropoda; Malacostraca; Decapoda; Portunidae
Description: partial large subunit ribosomal RNA
Rfam family: Archaeal large subunit ribosomal RNA
Source: RNAcentral